CUGAAACCUGCGCGCUCGGGAGCCUUCCUUAUAUAUAUUGGCUCCUCUCUUCGCCGCCUGUCACUCAGAACCCAUGGUCACUCUCCCCUCCCCUCCGGGCCUCCAGCGCCACAGCCCCAGCACCGCCUGGAGGGGGCCUCCGCCCCCGCCAUCCCCCGUCUCCGUCAGCCAGUCAAACACAGGUCCCCGCCCCUCAGUGGCGCUCUCAGCCCCUAGGUCCCCUAAGUCUGCGCGUGCCAAAGUGACCAGUUCUCCGCGACCAAGGGGUUACGGGUCGAGACCCCGGCGAUGGGAGGAGGGAGAGGGCCUGGGGGAAUGCGGCGGGAGGUGAGAGAGUGGUUCCCGGAUGGUCUUGGAGGCGGAGACACUGGGGAGUCCCGGUAGGCGGUCUGUCAGCAGCCGGAGCUAGUUACCUUCAGCCUUUGAGCAGGUAAAAGAAACUUAAGCUCGCAAAGCGAAAAUAGCACGGAAGGACUGGGAUCUUCUUCUUCCCGGAACUUCGGAAGCUGUAGUCUCCUCGGCCCGCAACCUGUGAGCGCCCACCCACCUCGCGUCCCCAGCGCAGCAGGGAAGCCAGCGGACGCUUUAACCUCUCAGUGACCACACUGGCCAAGGCGAGGGACUUGAGUCUAAGACUGUGGGGCUCUCAGGGGCUCCCACCCUCCACCUGACCAGAAGAACCCAGCAUGUGUCCUGGGGGCCACCAGGAGCAGGAGGCCGUGAGGCCAUCGGAGGCUGCAAAUCACAUGGAGUUGGACCCACCUGGGUGUCUGCUGCCCCUGCCCCUAUGCUGAUGCUUGGCAUGGGUGCAAGCCUCAACUGACGUAGGCUACCCUGGACUGACUGUGGACCUUCUAAAAGUCCACCGGCCCUCAUCUGGACUCGCGCUGACAACGUCAGGAGCCGGAGCAGGGUUCAGUCCUGGCAUCGUGCAAGGCCCACAGCCUCCCCUGCAGGGCACUUCUGCUUCUGUUACCCUCUCCUUUGGCUGCUGCACACAGCCCCCCAGCAGGCACCACCCGCACCUGGGACUUUGAAGCGCCAAGGUUGCCUUCCAGCCAUGCCCCUAAGCUGACCCCGGGUUUUCGGGGUACAACAGGGGCUGUAUAGAGCCUCUGGACCCCUCCCCCACUAGGUAGCCUUGCUCGCCCCCCAGCCCCCGAGCCAAGAGCGCAGCUCCGAGGCUUCCAGCGUCUUUUCGCCCUCCCCCUACUCCCGUUCUCCGCCGGGCAAACUGCGCCCAGGUAGGAGCACGGCUGAGGCCUGGCCACAGAGCCCGCUGGGCAGGCCAGGGGCGGGGGAGCGGGCCUGGUUUGGGCGGGGCACUUAAGCCUUGAGGGGCGCCGCUGCGGUCGCAGCAGAGAAGGGGCCACGUGCAGGGAGCCGCGGCCGGGGAGCUGCACAGAAGGCGGGGAGAUUUGCAAACUGUUGCUGCCACAUGGCUGCUCCUUUCGAUCCAUUCACAUUGAAAUGAGGCCGGCGCGUGCCUCAUCUGCCGCAGGGCGCUGCCACGCGUCAGCCCGGCCCGCCGCGUGCCAACUGGGGCAGUGGGGCUGGCAGGGCCUGCCAGCCGUGGGGGCACAGCCCGAGCCCUGAGGCCAGGAGGGGGGAGGGGAAGGGAACCGAGUUAUCCUAGCCGCUCAGGCGCCGCAGUUUUUCGCGGACCUUGGCCCUGCAAUUGGGAUCAAGCCGACGAGAAAGGCCCGGGACGGACGGGUUUCGGAGGGGGGCCAGGAUCGAUGCCGCCGCUCCCCGCAGAUGCGCCCCGGCAGCGCUACUCUCCAUCUGCCGCUGCUCGCACCUGCCGGUCAAUAAAUCGAUUUUACAAUUUAAUGCAGCAGCUUCCCGCCCGCCUGGGACAGAUGCCGCCGCAGAACCACCUCCGCCCUCACCCCUCCCCUCGAGGGGCGCCAGCGGUUAGGGCAGGGAUUCCCGCUCGGCAGGCGGUGCCCCGCGGGGCCUCCUUCACCUUUCUCAAGUCCCUACAAGGAACUGCGCAGGGUCUUUCCCGCGGAACAGAGUGGGUUUCCCAUAGGACAGGCCUGAGGCUGAUGGAGGAGAAAAGAUGAUGACAUAGCGGUGGCCUUGAGGACUCAUUUGGGGGCUUCAUGGGGGAACAGGAUGCAGUGGCUGAUGACAAGAUGUGAGAGCCCCUGUAAGGAGAAAGGGGUAGGACCUGGGGCGUGGACGUCAAGAGACACUGAGUCCUGAAGCCUCUCCAUGAUAGCGAUGCGGGGAGGGCUGAGCUGGAAUGGGGGCCUCUCCCCAGCGCCCGCUCUGGCUGAGUCUGGUGAAUAAGCAUAACAUGGACCUGGUUUUUGGCACUUCUCAACCAUGUAAUCUUGGGGCUUGUAAUUUAUUUUAAUUUAAUUUAAUUUAAUUUAAUUUUUUAAUGUUUAUUUUAUUUUUGAGAGGGAGGGAGGGGGAGAGAGAGAGAGGGAGAGAGAGAGAGCGCCGGGGAGGGACAGAGAGAAAGGCAGACACAGAAUCCAAAGCAGGCUCCAGGCUCUGAGCUGCCAGCACAGAGCCGGACAUCGGGCUCGAACCCACGAACUGCUAGAUCAUGACCUGAGCUGAAGUUGGCUGCUUUACCAACUCAGACACCCAGGCACCCCUUAUUUUUUAAUGUUUAUUUAUUUAUUUUUGAGAGAGAGAGACAAAGAGAGAGAAAAUGAGUGUGAACAGGGAAAGGUCAGAGACAGAGAGAAAAUCCUAAGCAGGCUCCACAGUCAGCACAGAGCCUGAUGUGGGGCUCGAACUCAACAAACAUGAGAUCAUGACCUGAGCUGAAAUCGAGAGUCCAAUGCUUAACUGAUUAAGC
This is a long non-coding RNA of Acinonyx jubatus (cheetah), 2821 nucleotides long. RefSeq lists it as uncharacterized. The record is from RefSeq and is a predicted model, not a curated record. The transcript has 2 exons. NCBI's taxonomy places the organism in Eukaryota, Metazoa, Chordata, Mammalia, Carnivora, Felidae.